RNAcentral lists this ribosomal RNA (450 nucleotides) under uncultured bacterium. RNAcentral's name for it is "partial 16S ribosomal RNA". It matches the Rfam family "Bacterial small subunit ribosomal RNA", at positions 354 to 796 of the family's 1533-position model. The record is from RNAcentral.
GUGGGGAAUAUUGGACAAUGGGCGAAAGCCUGAUCCAGCCAUUCCGCGUGCAGGAUGAAGGCCUUCGGGUUGUAAACUGCUUUUGUACGGAACGAAAAGCCUCUGGUUAAUACCCGGGGGUCAUGACGGUACCGUAAGAAUAAGCACCGGCUAACUACGUGCCAGCAGCCGCGGUAAUACGUAGGGUGCGAGCGUUAAUCGGAAUUACUGGGCGUAAAGCGUGCGCAGGCGGUGAUGUAAGACAGUUGUGAAAUCCCCGGGCUCAACCUGGGAACUGCAUCUGUGACUGCAUUGCUGGAGUGCGGCAGAGGGGGAUGGAAUUCCGCGUGUAGCAGUGAAAUGCGUAGAUAUGCGGAGGAACACCGAUGGCGAAGGCAAUCCCCUGGGCCUGCACUGACGCUCAUGCACGAAAGCGUGGGGAGCAAACAGGAUUAGACACCCUUGUAGUCC